GAGUAACACGUGGGAACGUGCCCAAAGGUACGGAACAACUCCGGGAAACUGGAGCUAAUACCGUAUGUGCCCGAAAGGGGAAAGAUUUAUCGCCUUUGGAUCGGCCCACGUCUGAUUAGCUAGUUGGCGGUGUAAUGGACCACCAAGGCGACGAUCAGUAGCUGGUCUGAGAGGAUGACCAGCCACACUGGGACUGAGACACGGCCCAGACUCCUACGGGAGGCAGCAGUAGGGAAUAUUGGACAAUGGGCGAAAGCCUGAUCCAGCCAUGCCGCGUGAGUGAUGAAGGCCUUAGGGUUGUAAAGCUCUUUCGCCAGGGACGAUAAUGACGGUACCUGGAUAAGAAGCCCCGGCUAACUUCGUGCCAGCAGCCGCGGUAAUACGAAGGGGGCUAGCGUUGUUCGGAAUUACUGGGCGUAAAGCGUAUGCAGGCGGACUUUUAAGUCGGGGGUGAAAUCCCGAGGCUCAACCUCGGAACUGCCUUCGAUACUGGAAGUCUUGAGUCCGGGAGAGGUGAGUGGAACUGCGAGUGUAGAGGUGAAAUUCGUAGAUAUUCGCAAGAACACCAGUGGCGAAGGCGGCUCACUGGCCCGGUACUGACGCUGAGAUACGAAA
Molecule: ribosomal RNA, 615 nt
Filed under: uncultured Bauldia sp.
Lineage: Bacteria; Pseudomonadati; Pseudomonadota; Alphaproteobacteria; Hyphomicrobiales; Kaistiaceae
Description: bacterial SSU rRNA
Rfam family: Bacterial small subunit ribosomal RNA
Source: RNAcentral